AUUGAACGCUGGCGGCAGGCCUAACACAUGCAAGUCGAACGGUAGCACAGAGAGCUUGCUCUCGGGUGACGAGUGGCGGACGGGUGAGUAAUGUCUGGGAAACUGCCCGAUGGAGGGGGAUAACUACUGGAAACGGUAGCUAAUACCGCAUAAUGUCGCAAGACCAAAGAGGGGGACCUUCGGGCCUCUUGCCAUCGGAUGUGCCCAGAUGGGAUUAGCUUGUUGGUGAGGUAAUGGCUCACCAAGGCGACGAUCCCUAGCUGGUCUGAGAGGAUGACCAGCCACACUGGAACUGAGACACGGUCCAGACUCCUACGGGAGGCAGCAGUGUGGAAUAUUGCACAAUGGGCGCAAGCCUGAUGCAGCCAUGCCGCGUGUGUGAAGAAGGCCUUCGGGUUGUAAAGCACUUUCAGCGGGGAGGAAGGCGAUACGGUUAAUAACCGUGUUGAUUGACGUUACCCGCAGAAGAAGCACCGGCUAACUCCGUG
This 488-nucleotide ribosomal RNA is filed under the name uncultured bacterium. RNAcentral describes it as "partial 16S ribosomal RNA". It matches the Rfam family "Bacterial small subunit ribosomal RNA", at positions 30 to 507 of the family's 1533-position model. The record is from RNAcentral.